ACGAUAACGAACGAGACCUUAACCUGCUAACUAGCGACGCGAACCCUCGUGUUCGUGGCCCGCUUCUUAGAGGGACUGUCGGCGACUAGCCGACGGAAGUUUGAGGCAAUAACAGGUCUGUGAUGCCCUUAGAUGUUCUGGGCCGCACGCGCGCUACACUGACGAAGCCAGCGAGUCUACAACCUUGACCGGAAGGUCCGGGUAAUCUUGUUAAACUUCGUCGUGCUGGGGAUAGUCCAUUGCAAUUAUUGGACUUGAACGAGGAAUUCCUAGUAAGCGCAAGUCAUCAGCUUGCGUUGAUUUCGUCCCUGCCCUUUGUACACACCGCCCGUCGCUAAUACCGAUUGAAUGGUUA
This 355-nucleotide ribosomal RNA is filed under the name Eukaryota sp. Its description in RNAcentral is "SSU rRNA". It matches the Rfam family "Eukaryotic small subunit ribosomal RNA", at positions 1325 to 1699 of the family's 1831-position model. The record is from RNAcentral.